GUUUUUGAACUUCAUGAUGAAC
RNAcentral lists this non-coding RNA (22 nucleotides) under Rattus norvegicus (Norway rat). Lineage: Eukaryota; Metazoa; Chordata; Mammalia; Rodentia; Muridae. The record is from RNAcentral.